Molecule: transfer RNA, 69 nt
Filed under: Ictidomys tridecemlineatus (thirteen-lined ground squirrel)
Lineage: Eukaryota; Metazoa; Chordata; Mammalia; Rodentia; Sciuridae
Description: Spermophilus tridecemlineatus (thirteen-lined ground squirrel) tRNA
Rfam family: tRNA
About the family: Transfer RNA (tRNA) molecules are approximately 80 nucleotides in length. Their secondary structure includes four short double-helical elements and three loops (D, anti-codon, and T loops). Further hydrogen bonds mediate the characteristic L-shaped molecular structure. tRNAs have two regions of fundamental functional importance: the anti-codon, which is responsible for specific mRNA codon recognition, and the 3' end, to which the tRNAs corresponding amino acid is attached (by aminoacyl-tRNA synthetases). tRNAs cope with the degeneracy of the genetic code in two manners: having more than one tRNA (with a specific anti-codon) for a particular amino acid; and 'wobble' base-pairing, i.e. permitting non-standard base-pairing at the 3rd anti-codon position.
Source: Rfam by way of RNAcentral
GGCGUUGUAGCUCAGUGGUACAGCGCUUGUCUUGCAGGUGUGAGGCACUGGGUUCGAGUCCCAGCACCA